AGAAUCAACGCUGGCGGCGUGCCUAACACAUGCAAGUCGAACGAGAAAGGGGAGCAAUCCCUGAGUACAGUGGCGACCGGGUGAGUAACACGUGACUAACCUACCCUCGAGUGUGGAAUAACAUCGGGAAACCGAUGCUAAUACCGCAUAACAUCGCAAGAUCAAAGGAGUAAUCCGCUUGAGGAGGGGGUCGCGGCUGAUUAGCUAGUUGGCGGGGUAAUGGCCCACCAAGGCGAAGAUCGGUAUCCGGCCUGAGAGGGCGCACGGACACACUGGAACUGAAACACGGUCCAGACUCCUACGGGAGGCAGCAGUGGGGAAUUUUGCGCAAUGGGGGAAACCCUGACGCAGCAACGCCGCGUGGAGGAUGAAGCCCCUUGGGGCUAAACUCCUUUCGACCAAGACGAUAAUGACGGUACUGGUGGAAGAAGCACCGGCUAACUCUGCGCCAGCAGCCGC
This 459-nucleotide ribosomal RNA is filed under the name uncultured bacterium. RNAcentral's name for it is "SSU rRNA". It matches the Rfam family "Bacterial small subunit ribosomal RNA", at positions 26 to 518 of the family's 1533-position model. The record is from RNAcentral.